CCCAGACUCCUACGGGAGGCAGCAGUGAGGAAUAUUGGUCAAUGGGCGGGAGCCUGAACCAGCCAAGUCGCGUGAGGGAUGACGGCCCUAUGGGUUGUAAACCUCUUUUGUCGGGGAGCAAAGAGAGUCACGUGUGACUCAUUGAGAGUACCCGAAGAAAAAGCAUCGGCUAACUCCGUGCCAGCAGCCGCGGUAAUACGGAGGAUGCGAGCGUUAUCCGGAUUUAUUGGGUUUAAAGGGUGCGUAGGCGGGAUGCCAAGUCAGCGGUAAAAAUGCGGUGCUCAACGCCGUCGAGCCGUUGAAACUGGCGUUCUUGAGUGGGCGAGAAGUAUGCGGAAUGCGUGGUGUAGCGGUGAAAUGCAUAGAUAUCACGCAGAACUCCGAUUGCGAAGGCAGCAUACCGGCGCCCAACUGACGCUCAGGCACGAAAGCGUGGGUAUCGAACAGGAUUAGAUACCCGCGUAGUC
Molecule: ribosomal RNA, 467 nt
Filed under: uncultured bacterium
Lineage: Bacteria
Description: bacterial SSU rRNA
Rfam family: Bacterial small subunit ribosomal RNA
Source: RNAcentral